Molecule: long non-coding RNA, 568 nt
Organism: Eriocheir sinensis (Chinese mitten crab)
Lineage: Eukaryota; Metazoa; Arthropoda; Malacostraca; Decapoda; Varunidae
Exons: 2
Source: RefSeq, a predicted model, not a curated record
CACACACUCGGCCACCAGCUCCUCCACUGUGGCUCUGUCGGAGGCUGGGAUGUUGUGGAGCAGCCCUGGUGGAAACAGCGAGUAUAUAUGAGAAGAACCCUUGUAUGGGAAUGUCUAAGAAGCAUGUGAAAAAGACUGUAUAGAUUUCCUACAAGAAGACAUCACCAAGCUACAGGAAUGGAUCAAAAAGUGGCUGCAGCAAUUCAGUGAAGAAAAAUAUAAAGUCCUGCACCUUGGGAGGGGAUAUCCAGCACACCAAUACCACAUGGGAAACACUCCACUAUCCACCACAGAGGCAGAGAAAGACCUGGGAGUAUAUGUCACCAGGCUACCAGUGAAGGCCAAAUCCGUCCCAAUCGCAGCGGACGGGUUAAGAAAACACACUUGAUAAUAAGAAAACAGUAGGCGAAGACAGUAAGCAGGGGAGAAAAGUAUUAAUUCUUCAGUAAAACAACAAAUACGCUGGAAGGGAACAACAGAGUGUCAAAUUCUGCUGGCUACUCUUUACUUCAUCUUUUAUCGGAGCAGUGGUUAGUGGGCUUUUUUUUUCUACACUUUCUUUUUGUUG